This 253-nucleotide ribosomal RNA is filed under the name uncultured bacterium. RNAcentral describes it as "partial 16S ribosomal RNA". It matches the Rfam family "Bacterial small subunit ribosomal RNA", at positions 524 to 776 of the family's 1533-position model. The record is from RNAcentral.
UACGUAGGUGGCAAGCGUUGUCCGGAAUUAUUGGGCGUAAAGCGCACGCAGGCGGUCCUUUAAGUCUGAUGUGAAAGCCCACGGCUCAACCGUGGAGGGUCAUUGGAAACUGGGGGACUUGAGUACAGAAGAGAAGAGUGGAAUUCCACGUGUAGCGGCGAAAUGCGUAGAGAUGUGGAGGAACACCAGUGGCGAAGGCGACUCUUUGGUCUGUAACUGACGCUGAGGCGCGAAAGCGUGGGGAGCAAACAGG